CCUGGCUCAGGACGAACGCUGGCGGCGCGCCUAACACAUGCAAGUCGAACGAGCGAGAGAGAGCUUGCUUUCUCGAGCGAGUGGCGAACGGGUGAGUAACGCGUGAGGAACCUGCCUCAAAGAGGGGGACAACAGUUGGAAACGACUGCUAAUACCGCAUAAGCCCACGGCUCGGCAUCGAGCAGAGGGAAAAGGAGCAAUCCGCUUUGAGAUGGCCUCGCGUCCGAUUAGCUAGUUGGUGAGGUAACGGCCCACCAAGGCGACGAUCGGUAGCCGGACUGAGAGGUUGAACGGCCACAUUGGGACUGAGACACGGCCCAGACUCCUACGGGAGGCAGCAGUGGGGAAUAUUGCACAAUGGGGGAAACCCUGAUGCAGCGACGCCGCGUGGAGGAAGAAGGUCUUCGGAUUGUAAACUCCUGUUGUUGAGGAAGAUAAUGACGGUACUCAACAAGGAAGUGACGGCUAACUACGUGCCAGCAGCCGCGGUAAAACGUAGGUCACAAGCGUUGUCCGGAAUUACUGGGUGUAAAGGGAGCGCAGGCGGGAAGACAAGUUGGAAGUGAAAUCCAUGGGCUCAACCCAUGAACUGCUUUCAAAACUGUUUUUCUUGAGUAGUGCAGAGGUAGGCGGAAUUCCCGGUGUAGCGGUGGAAUGCGUAGAUAUCGGGAGGAACACCAGUGGCGAAGGCGGCCUACUGGGCACCAACUGACGCUGAGGCUCGAAAGUGUGGGUAGCAAACAGGAUUAGAUACCCUGGUAGUCCACACUGUAAACGAUGAUUACUAGGUGUUGGAGGAUUGACCCCUUCAGUGCCGCAGUUAACACAAUAAGUAAUCCACCUGGGGAGUACGACCGCAAGGUUGAAACUCAAAGGAAUUGACGGGGGCCCGCACAAGCAGUGGAGUAUGUGGUUUAAUUCGACGCAACGCGAAGAACCUUACCAAGUCUUGACAUCCUGCGACGGUUCUGGAAACAGUACUUUCCUUCGGGACGCAGAGACAGGUGGUGCAUGGUUGUCGUCAGCUCGUGUCGUGAGAUGUUGGGUUAAGUCCCGCAACGAGCGCAACCCUUAUGGUCAGUUAUACGCAAGAGGACUCUGGCCAGACUGCCGUUGACAAAACGGAGGAAGGUGGGGAUGACGUCAAAUCAUCAUGCCCUUUAUGACUUGGGCUACACACGUACUACAAUGGCGUUAAACAAAGAGAAGCAAGACCGCGAGGUGGAGCAAAACUCAGAAACAACGUCCCAGUUCGGACUGCAGGCUGCAACUCGCCUGCACGAAGUCGGAAUUGCUAGUAAUCGCAGAUCAGCAUGCUGCGGUGAAUACGUUCCCGGGCCUUGUACACACCGCCC
This 1355-nucleotide ribosomal RNA is filed under the name uncultured bacterium. Its description in RNAcentral is "bacterial SSU rRNA". It matches the Rfam family "Bacterial small subunit ribosomal RNA", at positions 18 to 1395 of the family's 1533-position model. The record is from RNAcentral.